UUCAGGACAUCUGAGUUUUAACUUGUUCACUUACCUUUGUUUUAUUACAGUCUUCACUUAAGGAUCACCAUGCCUCUCAGACACAUCCUAUGUCUUGCUGUUCUACUGACAGAUAUUGUAAGUGGGGACAGAGUAACACAGAAAGAACUGAAUGAACAUGUUUAUGAAGAUGAUGAUGUCCAACUUUCAUGUAAUUUCACUGCAACUAGCACAGAUACUGCUAACUUAUUUUGGUAUCGUCAGAAAGCAAAUGGUCCCAUUGAAUAUCUGGAUCUUCAUGUGAGCAGCUAUCAACCUAAUGCUGACAAAGGAAGAUUUUCAGCCCACCUCAACUAUUCUAACAGCAUCGUAGUUCUAAAUAUCUCCAGCACCGUGCUGUCAGACUCAGCUGUUUACUAUUGUGCACUGAGAGACACAGUGAAUAACAUCCCUACUAACGAAAUACAAGAACUAGGUCUGCAUGUAACUGAAAUGUUAUGCAAUAAACUCCCCCUUACUAAAACAGAUGACACAAUUUAGGGGACUGCACACACCUUCAGUAAUUCAGAAAAUACUGCUAUGUUUCAACAUUUUCUAGAGCUUUACUAUUUUGUGUGAUAAUGUUUUCUAUAGCUGUUGUUACAGCUCAGAUA
Molecule: non-coding RNA, 632 nt
Organism: Protopterus annectens (West African lungfish)
Lineage: Eukaryota; Metazoa; Chordata; Ceratodontiformes; Protopteridae
Source: the annotation of a RefSeq genome assembly